Canis lupus familiaris (dog) is the source of this 2881-nucleotide RNA transcript. RefSeq lists it as uncharacterized. The record is from RefSeq and is a predicted model, not a curated record. The transcript is spliced from 9 exons. NCBI's taxonomy places the organism in Eukaryota, Metazoa, Chordata, Mammalia, Carnivora, Canidae.
GUUUCUUUUUUUUGUUUCUUUUUCAAAGGUGUUAUUUAUUUAUUUGAGAGAGAGAAGAGAGAAAAAGCAUGAGUGAGAGAAGCAGAGGGAGAGGGAGAAGCAGGUUCCCUGCUGAAAACGGAGCCUUCCUUGCGACCUGGAUCAUGAUCUGACUUAAGACUGUUGUGCCCAAGAUUGUGAAUCUGUGAAUCUGAGAAAUCACAAAUCACCGAGAAGCCAACACCAAUGCAAACACAUGAGGGUUUAUUUACAAGCUCGAGCUUGUGUCCAAGUAUACCCAACACAGUGGAGCGGGGACUUGGACCCCGAGGUGCAUCACAGAGAAUAAAUAAGGAGACUGAACAAAAAGAGCACAAGACAUUGGGGACUUCGUCCAUAUCAGAAGGGACUCCUCAGAACCACAGGAUUCCCAGGAUAGAUGUGGGCCCGCAUCCACCCUGACAGGAACACCUGGGCCGCUUCAGGACCUGCAGGGAGGCUUCAGGAAGCUGUGGUGCUGCGUCCACUCUGUCAGGAGCUCCCGGGCCACUCAGGACAUAAUUUGAGUCUUCUGGAAGGUGGGGGCCGCAUCCAUGGUGUCAGGAGCCCUGGCCUCCUCAGAAUCCGCAGUGAGGCUAUGGGAGGACUUGGGGCCACGCCCACACAACAGGACGCUGACGUCCUCAGGACCCCCGGUGUAGACUUCGGGAAAUAUGGGGAUGCUUCCAUGCAGACAGAAGACCCCAGCCUUGUCAGGGCCUGUGGUGAGGCGUAAGAAAAAUGUGGGUGCCGAAUCCAAACUGACAGGAGUCUCCAGCCUCUUUAGGAUCAGCACUUUGGCUUCAGGACAUAUGGGGCUGCGUCUAUGCUGACAGGAGCCCACAGCCCCCUCAGGACCCGCAGUGAGUUUUCUGGGGGCCAUGGGGCCAUAUCCAGGCUGACAGGAGCCCUUGGCCUCCUGAGGACCUGCUGUGAGGCUUCCAGAGGAUGUGAGGCAUAGUCCACAGUGACAGGAGACCCGGCGUCCUCAGGACCCGCUGACUAUGACUCAGGAACACAUGGGGCCACAUCCACACUCACAGGAUCCUGGCUUCCUCAGGACCCCCUGGAGGACUCUGGAGGUGCCGUUGGGGGCCACGUCCACAUCAGAAGGGACUACUCAGAACCACAGGGCUUUAGGCUUUCCGCUGGGCACACCGUAAUCGUAAAUCGGCUCAUAACAAUGUAACCCUGCUUUGUGCCCACCAAAACUGCACGCCGAUUCUGACCAAAGAAAUAGGCCAGGUCAAGUGGAUCCUAUAGGACUGUUGUGCCCAAGAUUGCGAAUCCGAAAAACCAUGGAGAAGCCCACACCGAAGCAAACACACGAGGGUUUAUUUACAAGCUCGAGCUUGUGUCCAAGUAUACCUGACAGUGCGGAGCAGGGACUUCGACCCCGAGAGGAAGAAUCAGGGAUUCACCAGUUGGAGAUAACAGCAGUGCUCGUGACAUCACGUGACCUCCUUCAUGCAGGUCACCGAGGCUCCUCCCACAGUGUGGCUACUGUGGACCCGGCUGCUGUAUACAUUGGGGUGCAGGUGUCCCAAGUCUCACUGCAUCUGUAUCUUCGGAGUGAAAUCAGGCCGUUCACCUGCUGUUCACAGGAUGUUACAAAUAGAGUCGCCCUGCAGAGCCUCCACACUGUUUCCAGGGUGGCUGCACCAGCCCGCAAUCCCGCCCACAGUGGAAGAGGGUUGAGUGGGUUUUGCGGGACGUGGUAAAACUCUGGUCCACAUUUCAUUUCGCGUCCUGUGGGCUCCAAUUCCUUGUCCUUAAGUAUUUCUGGGGAAGCCAGGUGUUGGGCUCCGUUUCAGUGAGACGUUUCCAAAGCUAACAGGCCACAGCAGGAGCCUGGAAGGAGGCAGGUGUGGCCCCUGGAGCGCCACUGCCUUCUGCACAGCCUCCUGCAGCGCCUGAGCGUCCUGCAGGGGGCACCCGAGCCCAGGCCCCACCCAGCGGGCAUGAAUGUGCAGUAGGCCUCCUCUGCCUGCACUAACAGGAGCCAGCCUGUGCUGGGGAGGCCUGAGGAGGACGUGGGGACACGUCCACGCUGAUGAGCCGCAGCUUCAGGAAAUUGUGGGCUCGCAUCCAUGCUGAAAGGAGACCCUGGGCCUCCUCAGGACCCACGGGGCGGCUUCAGGAAGAUGUGGGCCCGCAUCCACGCUGACAGGAGCCCCUGGGCCACCUCAGGACAUAAGUUGAGGCUUCUGGAAGCUGCGGGCCGCAUUAAUGGUGGCAGGAGCCCCGGCCUCCUCAGAACCCUCGGUGAUGCUUCGGGAGGACGUUGUGUCACAUCGACACAACAGGAUGCUGAAUCCUUAGGACCCCUGGUGUUGACUUGGGGAAAUAUGGGAUGCAUCCAUGCGGACAGAAGACCCCAGGCUUGUCAGGGCCUGUGGUGAGGCCUAAGAAAAAUGUGGGUGCCGCAUCCACACUGACAGGAGUCUCCAGCCUCCUCAGGACCCACUGUGAAGGUUUGAGAAGAUUUGGGGCCACAUCUAUGCUGACAGGAGCCCCCAGCAUCCUCAGGUCUUAUGGUGAGGCUUGAGGAAAAUGUUGGGCCACCUCAACACUGACAGGACCCCCGUCCUCCUCAGGACAUGCACUUUGGCUUCGGGAAAUAUGGGGCUGCGUCUAUGCUGACAGGAGCCCACAGCUCCUCAGGACGUGUGGUGAGUUUUCUGGGGGACGUGUGGCCAUGUCCAGGCUGACAGGAGCCCCGGGCCACCUGAGGACCUGCUGUGAGGCUUCCAGACGAUGUGAGGCAUAGUCCACAGUGACAGGAGACCCAGCGUCCUCAGGACCCUCUGACUAUGACUCAGGAACAAUUGGGGCCACGUCCGCACUCACAGGAGCCCUGCUU